RNAcentral lists this ribosomal RNA (621 nucleotides) under uncultured bacterium. RNAcentral describes it as "bacterial SSU rRNA". It matches the Rfam family "Bacterial small subunit ribosomal RNA", at positions 139 to 737 of the family's 1533-position model. The record is from RNAcentral.
GGGGGAAACGUCUCGAAAGGGACGCUAAUACCGCAUGACAUCCUCGUCUUUUAAGAGGCGGUGAUCAAAGCCGGGGAUCGCAAGACCUGGCGCUUGAAGAGGGGCCCGCGUCCGAUUAGCUAGUUGGUGGGGUAAUGGCUCACCAAGGCAACGAUCGGUAGCCGGCCUGAGAGGGCGGACGGCCACACUGGGACUGAGACACGGCCCAGACUCCUACGGGAGGCAGCAGUGGGGAAUUGUUCGCAAUGGGCGCAAGCCUGACGACGCAACGCCGCGUGGAGGAUGAAGAUUUUCGGAUCGUAAACUCCUUUCGAUCGAGACGAAUGACUUCCGGACUAAUAAUUCGGAAGAAUGACGGUACCGAGAGAAGAAGCCCCGGCUAACUCCGUGCCAGCAGCCGCGGUAAUACGGGGGGGGGCAAGCGUUGUUCGGAAUUACUGGGCGUAAAGGGCUCGUAGGCGGCCAACUAAGUCAGACGUGAAAUCCCUCGGCUUAACCGAGGAACUGCGUCUGAUACUGGAUGGCUUGAAUCCGGGAGAGGGAUGCGGAAUUCCAGGUGUAGCGGUGAAAUGCGUAGAUAUCUGGAGGAACACCGGUGGCGAAGGCGGCAUCCUGGACCGG